Molecule: ribosomal RNA, 322 nt
Filed under: uncultured eukaryote
Lineage: Eukaryota
Description: partial 18S ribosomal RNA
Rfam family: Eukaryotic small subunit ribosomal RNA
Source: RNAcentral
CCCUUAGAUGUCCUGGGCCGCACGCGCGCUACACUGACAUGUUCAACAAGUUUCUCCUAGUUCGACAGGACUGGGAAAUCUUUGAACGCAUGUCGUGAUAGGGAUAGAUCAUUGCAAUUAUUGAUCUUGAACGAGGAAUUCCUAGUAAACGCGAGUCAUCAGCUCGCAUUGAUUACGUCCCUGCCCUUUGUACACACCGCCCGUCGCACCUACCGAUUGAAUGUUUCGGUGAAGAUUCCGGAUAGGACUGAUUUGACUUAUUUCAUUUCUUACCUAAAAGCUAUCUAAACCUCAACAUUUAGAGGAAGGUGAAGUCGUAACA